GCCAGACUCCUACGGGAGGCAGCAGUGGGGGAUAUUGCACAAUGGGGGGAACCCUGAUGCAGCGACGCCGCGUGGGUGAAGGAGUAUUUCGGUAUGUAAAGCCCUAUCGGCAGGGAAGAAGCAAGACGGUACCUGACUAAGAAGCCCCGGCUAACUACGUGCCAGCAGCCGCGGUAAUACGUAGGGGGCGAGCGUUAUCCGGAUUCACUGGGUGUAAAGGGAGCGUAGACGGCCAAGCAAGCCAGGGGUGAAAGCCCGGGGCCCAACCCCGGGACUGCCCUUGGAACUGCUUGGCUGGAGUGCGGGAGGGGCAGGCGGAAUUCCUGGUGUAGCGGUGAAAUGCGUAGAUAUCAGGAGGAACACCGGCGGCGAAGGCGGCCUGCUGGACCGCUACUGACGUUGAGGCUCGAAAGCGUGGGGAGCAAACAGGAUUAGAUACCCCCGUAAAC
This 449-nucleotide ribosomal RNA is filed under the name uncultured bacterium. Its description in RNAcentral is "bacterial SSU rRNA". It matches the Rfam family "Bacterial small subunit ribosomal RNA", at positions 330 to 795 of the family's 1533-position model. The record is from RNAcentral.